AACACGUUAGUAAUAUAUGUUUCUCUAACUAUUACGUUAUUAAUUAUUAUUAUUAUUAUCAUCAUCAUCAUCAUCAUCAUCAUCAUCAUCAUUGUAUACAAUAUGACUUUUAUAAUAUUGUAUCGCGAAAUUUAAAUUUAAAUCGAAAACAUUAUCGGUUUGUAGUGAGCUCGUUGAUCUCAUUAUCGUUCACGUUUGAAACAGAUGAUCGUGCUAAGUACGAUUAAAAAUAAUAUUGCAAAAAGUCACUCGACCGGAACGCACUGCACGUAGGUAUGGGUAUUACUAUUAUUAUAUAUUUAUAUCAGUGCAAAGUUCUUUGCUCCGGAAAAACGCAGUGCACUUGCGGUGUACCUACACAACAAACAGCAGCGGUCCAUUUGCAAUUCGAUGGCAACGGAGAGAUUAAAAACAAAACGGCAUUUGUCGUGAGUGUUAUGAAUUAAAAUAAUAUAUAUCUCGGCCUUAACAAUAUCUAAGGUACAGUCGAUCGCGGCAUGGAGAAUCCGCGGACACCACCGCCGAAUAUUCGUUGUCAUGAUUUUGAGCCAUAAUAACAUUGUUCGAUGGUUCAUCGAUAUGACGCAAAUAAUGAAUCUGGAUGAUGUUUUUAAUCGUUUUAGUUUUUUGAAUGACGUCAUACAUUUUAAAUUUCUUAUCCCUAAGCAGAUAAUAUAAUAUUUCUGAGAAUUUCAAUAUUUUAUGAUUUUAUAAAUUACAAUUUUAUCGAGUUAUUAAUUACUCAUAACUUAAGUAUUUAAAGUUAAAUUUCACUAUGUCACUCCACUCUGUCCAUCUCAACUUAGAAAAUAUUUAAUACUAAUUAGUGACUAGUUAAAAAUUUUCAAAAAUGUAUUUUUCUUCAAAAUAUGAAAUUAAAAUAAUUUUAAAAUAUGUUGUUUCGUGUGUUUGUAAUGACUUCUCGAACACUUAAUAUAAAAAAAAUGUUUUCGAAAAUGCUAAUUCCUUAUGAGACAAUGAGUGUUUGCUGUUAAAAAAAAUCUCCCUGUAUACAAUGAUGUGUAUUCUCGACUUGACAAAAAACUUACAUACGCACAUUCGCAGAUUACGCGAGAUUUUUAAAUAUAGGUCAACACAACAUAUUAUUAUUGUUAUGUGUUGUGGACGUCUCGCGAUUCGGGUGAAAAUAAUAAGAUGAAACGCGCAAUAGUUAUUGUAUUGCACCACUUCGAGCAUUUGUUUAUGAAUUUAUGACAGAUAUGACAGUAAUACAGGUCCAGAAGGGAUUCUGGGAAUCUUCUAGAAUUCUAGAAGUCUACACAAACAUUAAUAAUUUAUCAAUAUUUAUAAUAUUGUCUACAUUACACAUAAUUAUACCUAUUAGUAUUUACAUUUAUCAAUUAUCAUUAGCAGUCGGCGGGUACAAGGUUUAGUGGGUACAAGAUUUUGUUUAUGAUUCAGCUGCUAACAUUUUAUUGCGGAUUUCUAAAGCACAAUCGCUAAAAAUAAUAAAUACUAUAAAUUAUAAUAAUCGUUUUUAUUUUUUAUCAUAUCAUUGAAAUUCUUUUAAAAAAGGGCUUUCAAUUUAUUAUUGAUUUUGUGUGAGGAUAACAGAUUAUAAGUCGAGUGUCGAAAAAUGUUGAAGAAUAUCUAUCUCAGUCGUUCAAUAGUGGGUGUACCUAUUGCUAGGUAUACUAUUAUGGAGGUUUAGGGUAUAGACCAUUAUUAGACAUUGAUCGGUGGAAUCGCGCUCCAGCUGGAUUUGGCGAAAUAUCGGGUGUGUGCGAUGCGAAACUAUACGUCGAAGAGCUCGUAAUGAUUAUGGUCAUUAUAGCGCGCAACAGUCGAAUCAGUUAAGAUGAAAAUGUGAGCAGAAAAAAUGAACGGCGGAGGUCGGACUAUCGAUGCGAACAUCGGCCGAACAACAAUAAUAUAUUAUUAUAAUAAAUAUUGUGCACGCGCCGCUGUGCGAGCCAGAUGACGGGCGAAAAAAAAAAAGAAAAACGAAUAGAAACGAAAUAAAAACCGCCAGGAAUAGAUUCGCGUUCGGCACAGUUUUAGACGGCUCCAAGGUCGGCGGCUCUUUUCAGGUGUGGGUCUUUAUUAUAAUAACGAUCGUUUCGCGUGUCCGUGGUUGUCUACACACGUUGUCAUCACAAUAGACUCCUCAGCCUCGGUGUACACAGAAUCGCCAACGACGAUAAGGCCGGUUGCAAGCCUCCUCCUCCGCGUUUUGAUCGGCCGGACCACACUUUCUAUACCAUGUCUAUCAAAUGGUAAAAUCCCGCGUUACUUACCGAAACCAAAAUAUGUGAAACCACAGCGCCGUGAAGCUGAAAUAUCGCAUGUUUUUCGUAAUGUGAUAACAAUACACUGACACGAAGCAUGAAAAUGGGCCGACCGAUUUAAAAACCAAAAUAACGUGUAGUGGACGACGGAGCACGACAAAUCAGCAAUAUUUCGGAUUAAAGGGUUAAAUUGCACGAUAAUAUCUGGGAAUAAUAGACAACUUUUAGUCAAAUCCAGCGACACAUACAAUUUCCACAAUUUCCUUAAAAAUUAAUAUUAUUUCCGGAUAAAAAUAACCUAAACACUAUCAAAAAUUUCCUUGAAAACAAAUACACUACUGUUAAGAAAUCGACUGUUUAACUUACAGCAUUUUGAACGAUUUAUUUUAAUUAAACUAACAAUAAUAUAAAAACUAAAUUUUAAACUAUUCCAUUAUCUCAUCUAGAUGAUUGCAUUGCAAAAUAUCUGUCAUAUAAUCUAAAUAACUAUUUAAGUAUUUGUGAAUGACACUGUGACCAUACUAGCAUACUGCAGUUCAUCCAUAUUCGAUACUUUCCGGAUUUAUAUAAAUAUCAGGAGAACUUCACCAGAAAGCUUAAUAGUAAUAGAUGAAAGUAAAAAAUCUUCAUCUUGAACAGCCAGAUGACGUAUAUAUAAAAAGGCAAUGUGUGUGUAGUUGAGAUUAAUAAACUCAACAAAAAUUUGAAAGAUUGUUAAAAAGGAAAGUUAAAAAAUAGUUUGAACCACAUCCAAAUGUUGGCGCUAGAGGCUAGACAAAUUUUUUUUAAUUUUUGUUAAUUACAUUCGUAACUUAUGCAUGCUUUAUAACUUCGUAUUUACGCCAUUUUUGUUAAUGAUUCGAAACUUCAUUCGAAAACUACUAAUUAAAAACUUAACACAUGAGAAAAAAAUAUACAGGAACAUUUAAUUAAUGUGGAAUAUAAGGUUAAAUUGAAAAAAAACACUUAAAUCGUUAGUAUAUAUUUAUUAUUUAUUAUUUAUUAUAUUAUUCCACACCUUAACCACUCACACACCGGGCAAAAUUUUUCAAGAGCGAAACCGAGUGAUUAGGUAGUACCAAAAUUAUAUGAUAAUAAUAUCUAAGAUAAUUAUAAGAGAACACUCCGACAGCCGUCUUUUUAAUAUUAUGCUAAACAAAUAAAGACCUGCCCACCAAAUUACUGGGCGAUACACUACUGAAAAAAUGUACAUAACAUAUUAUAGAUACACCUAUAACAGAUCAUUAUAUAUACAUCAUGUUAUAUAUUUAUAUAUUUAGGUAUUGUUCACUGUGGCAAUCCGCGGAAUAGUGUUCCUCUUAGAGAUUUAAAGUGUUUGCUGGAUGUACUCGAGAGAAUGGUACCGGUUUAUAAUAUGUAUAAUUUUCGCAUUCUUUUAAGAGUAAACCCCCAUCUGCUAGUGUCGGUCACUGUGGAAAACAUAAGCGGCAAAAUGAGAUUUCAAAAAAAAGUCGUAUCGUAAACUCCGAAAUCUAACAGUACGAAAGCAUCAAAAUCCUAGUUAGUAUCAAAUAACAGGUAUUCAAUUUAGAACUAUAUCGUAACUAUAUAAGAUCAAUUUUACGUGGCUCGUUGUUCUGUUUAUAAUUGAUGUAUUAUUAAAAUUACAAAGUGAAACAUAUUUAUUUAUUUCUCCUUCUAACAAAAAACUAAGGAUAUCUCACUAAGAAAUAAUUGUACAAUGAAUAAAUACCAGUGCAGUGUAAUAGAUCGUAUAGAAUGCCUGAAUGCGUACAAAAGUGGGAUUACAAAAUCAACUGAUUUAUCAAAUUUACAUUUAUUUGUACGCAUACUACUAUAAGUUUGGCGCAAAUGAUAUUCCAUUUUUGCAACUUUGGUGACUAUGUUCAUAUUAAAGGUGAACAAUGACAAACAAUCAAUGAUAUACGGCAUCACUGCAUCAGCCCUCCGAAAAAAUUAUAUGGACGGAUUUCCACCUACGGCCUAUAACGGCACAACCCCUUUCGCGCAGUCGCUCGGCCGCCGAGCACUUGACCUAGUUCCCAAAAUUCUCCCGACGACCCUCACCCAGUUUUUCAGCCGUCCGCGUGCAAGCGCCUCGGCUCGUUUACGAUAAACAACGAACGAGCUGGCUCUGUAUAAUAAUUUGAUAUGGGAAUAAAUACAGCCCACUUUAACUGGGUAAUUUAUUAUGAUAUUAUGCAAACAACCAAAGUACAAUUAUUUAUUAUUGUGUUUUACUGAUGUAGCUGAUUUCGGCGGAUUCGUUGGAAGGUCGUGUCAUGGUCCAGAAUGCAGAGAAUCUUGCAUAUUAUACUAAAAAGUACAACGUUUUGCAAGGAACACAAAAAUGUGUAUCACAGAGAUAUUUUAUAUGAAGAAUUUAAUUUUUUUUUUAUAACUAGAAGUCUACACAUUUGAGUACAUAAUAUACCUAAAUACCUAAUACACAAAAGUGAUUACAUUUCUAAUAAAAUUGAUUUUAUUCGAAGGCAUUAAUUAAAAUCUGUAUAUACACUGAGAGUUGGAACUAAAAAGACGCAUAAAAUACAUUGUAUGCUAUGCCUGCAGAAC
Molecule: RNA transcript, 4805 nt
Organism: Myzus persicae (green peach aphid)
Lineage: Eukaryota; Metazoa; Arthropoda; Insecta; Hemiptera; Aphididae
Exons: 5
Source: RefSeq, a predicted model, not a curated record